RNAcentral lists this ribosomal RNA (452 nucleotides) under uncultured bacterium. Its description in RNAcentral is "bacterial SSU rRNA". It matches the Rfam family "Bacterial small subunit ribosomal RNA", at positions 29 to 526 of the family's 1533-position model. The record is from RNAcentral.
AAUGAACGCUGGCGGCAUGCCUAACACAUGCAAGUCGAACGAAGGCUUCGGCCUUAGUGGCGCACGGGUGCGUAACGCGUGGGAAUCUGCCCUUGGGUUCGGAAUAACAGUUAGAAAUGACUGCUAAUACCGGAUGAUGUCGUAAGACCAAAGAUUUAUCGCCCAAGGAUGAGCCCGCGUAGGAUUAGCUAGUUGGUGAGGUAAAAGCUCACCAAGGCGACGAUCCUUAGCUGGUCUGAGAGGAUGAUCAGCCACACUGGGACUGAGACACGGCCCAGACUCCUACGGGAGGCAGCAGUGGGGAAUAUUGGACAAUGGGCGAAAGCCUGAUCCAGCAAUGCCGCGUGAGUGAUGAAGGCCUUAGGGUUGUAAAGCUCUUUUACCCGGGAUGAUAAUGACAGUACCGGGAGAAUAAGCUCCGGCUAACUUCGUGCCAGCCGCCGCCGUAACAC